RNAcentral lists this microRNA precursor (92 nucleotides) under Canis lupus familiaris (dog). RNAcentral's name for it is "mir-8799 microRNA precursor family". It matches the Rfam family "mir-8799 microRNA precursor family". Lineage: Eukaryota; Metazoa; Chordata; Mammalia; Carnivora; Canidae. The record is from Rfam by way of RNAcentral. RNAcentral also lists the same sequence under 1 other name.
GGGGGGAGUGCCGGAUCCUGGGCUGUGUCCCCGGCGUCCUGUUCUUCUGGGCCUGUGCGGUUGGAUUCGCGCUCCUGGCCCCGCAGCCCCUU